Molecule: long non-coding RNA, 772 nt
Organism: Podarcis raffonei (Aeolian wall lizard)
Lineage: Eukaryota; Metazoa; Chordata; Lepidosauria; Squamata; Lacertidae
Exons: 3
Source: RefSeq, a predicted model, not a curated record
CUGAUCCCCACCGUCUGUCCCAAUGACCCUCCUGCGAACUCUGCCAUUGCCUUGGUUACAAGCAGAGGCCAGGGAAACGCUACAGCUGCUUCUCAGCACUGUGGAGGAACCCGCUGAGAUGGCCACCUAGGAGCUCCUUUUGUGCCCCCACACCUUGGACCAGGGAUUAUGUGCCCUGGUGAGGGGCUUCAGCAGUGGGUGCCAGUGAGGGAUUCCUGGAUUGGCGGCAUACAUCAUUUCAGCUCUGAAGAAUAAGCGCUUUGCCGGGGUGCCAGAAGUCACUGCAGCCAUCUUUCUGGAGCUGCUCAAGAACCGCCUGGGCAUCCAGCCCUGCAAGGAAACCCUGGUGCAGUUCCUCCUUUGGCUGGAGCACAGGAACAAGGAAGUGCAGAAGCUCAGCCUGCGAGGAUUAGCUCUGCUGCUGGAAGCGACUCCCAGAAGGAAGGAUGGAGGGGGCAAUCUAAGGUUGUUUAACGCAAACCUUCUAAAUUUGCCUUUCCAGAACCAAGAUAUGAACCAAAAUGCAGCUCUUCUCCAAAAUUGCAUGCCUCCAAAUUUUGUGAUUCAGUUCCUUCAUUCAAAAAAUGUCUUCAGAAAUGCUGAUUAGAAGGAAGUGAACACAAAUGCACUUGAGACACGCAUUCAAACUAAACCUAAAAAUAAUGAUGAACAAAUAUAGAAAAAUGAAAAAAAAUACAAAUGCAAAAAAUAUGUAUCAAAGUAAUAUACAGAAAUUUAUGCAAGACGAAUAAUAAACAAUAUGUAUAUACCA